GACAGAGGGUGCUAGCGUUGUUCGGAAUUACUGGGCGUAAAGGGCGCGUAGGCGGUCUGCUAAGUUCGGUGUGAAAUCCCCUGGCUCAACUGGGGAACUGCGUUGGAAACUGGCAGACUCGAGUACCGGAGAGGAGAGUGGAAUUCCUGGUGUAGCGGUGAAAUGCGUAGAUAUCAGGAGGAACACCGGUGGCGAAGGCGGGUCUCUGGGCCGAUACUGACGCUGAGGAGCGAAAGCGUGGGGAGCGAACAGG
This 253-nucleotide ribosomal RNA is filed under the name uncultured bacterium. RNAcentral describes it as "partial 16S ribosomal RNA". It matches the Rfam family "Bacterial small subunit ribosomal RNA", at positions 524 to 776 of the family's 1533-position model. The record is from RNAcentral.